AACGUAGGAGGCAAGCGUUAUCCGGAGUUACUGGGCGUAAAGCGCGUGCAGGUGGAUUGGUAAGUUACUUAUAAAAGCUCCUGGCUAAACUAGGAGAGGUUGGGUGAUACUGCCAGUCUAGAAUAGAGGAGAGGUUGACGGAAUUCCGCGUGUAGUGGUGAAAUGCGUAGAGAUGCGGAAGAACACCAGUGGCGAAGGCGGUCAACUGGCCUCAUAUUGACACUCAGACGCGAAGGCAUGGGUAGCGAACGGG
This 253-nucleotide ribosomal RNA is filed under the name uncultured bacterium. RNAcentral describes it as "partial 16S ribosomal RNA". It matches the Rfam family "Bacterial small subunit ribosomal RNA", at positions 524 to 776 of the family's 1533-position model. The record is from RNAcentral.